This 1282-nucleotide ribosomal RNA is filed under the name uncultured bacterium. Its description in RNAcentral is "bacterial SSU rRNA". It matches the Rfam family "Bacterial small subunit ribosomal RNA", at positions 115 to 1234 of the family's 1533-position model. The record is from RNAcentral.
ACGUGAGCAACCUACCCUCAGCACGGGGAUAACAGCUCGAAAGGGGCUGCUAAUACCCGAUGGGGACCACGUCAUUUGCAUGGGUGAUGUGGGUGAAAGGGGUGGGACGUAAGGGUCCAUACCGGGCUGGGGGAUGGGGCUCGCGGGCCCAUCAGCUAGUUGGGGGGGGUAAACGGCCUACCAAGGCGACGACGGGGUAGCCGGCCUGAGAGGGUGACCGGGCCACAGUGGGGACUGAGACACGGCCCCCACCUCCUACGGGAAAGGCAGCCAGGCGGGGGAAUCUCUUGGCGCAAUUGGGCGAAAAGCCCUGAACGCCAGGCGAACGCCCGCUGUAGAGGGAUAAGGGGGCCCUUUCCGGGGUGUUUAAAACCUUCCUUUUGGACCGGGGAAGGAAAGUAAGGAAGAUUAGGUACCCGCCUUUAAAAAAGGCCACCGGCUUAAACUUACCGUGGCCAGGCAGGCCGCCGGGUUAUAUACGUAGGGUGGGCGAAGCGGUUGGUCCCGGAAAUUACCUGGGGCCGUAAAAGGGGUUGCGUAGGGCGGGCCUGGUAAAGUUUGAGGCGUGAAAAUUUUUUGGGGCUUCAAACCCCAAAAAGGAGCGUUUCAAAGACUGCCCAGGGCUUGAGUGCGGGGAGGAGGACGGGCGGAAAUUUCCCGGGUGUAGCGGGUGAAAAUGCGUAGAUAUUCGGGAGGAACCACCCAGUGGCGAAAGGGCGGCUCGUACUGGACUCGUAACUGGCGCUGAGGCCACGAAAGCGUGGGGAAGCUAACCAGGAUUAGAUACCCCUGGUAGUCCCACGCUGUAAAACGGAUGGAUGCUAGGUGUGGGGGGGGAGAAGUACUCUUCCGUGCCGUAGUUAACACAAUAAGCAUCCCGCCUGGGGGAGUACGGCCGCAAGGUUGAAAACUCAAAAGGGAAUUGACGGGGGCCCGCACAAGCGGUGGAGCAUGUGGUUUAAUUUCGAAGCAACGCGAAGAACCCUUACCAGGGCUUGACAUGCCGGGGACCUGCCCGAAAGGGUGGGGUGCCCUGACCGAUGAGGUUAGGAACCCCGGACACAGGUGGUGCAUGGUUGUCGUCAGCUCGUGUCGUGAGAUGUUGGGUUAAGUCCCGCAACGAGCGCCAACCCCUCUGCCCCUUAGUUGCCCAGCGGGCAGAGCUCGGGCCACUUCUAAGGGGACUGCCCGCCGAUGAGGCGGGAGGAAAGGUGGGGGGAUGACGUCAAAUUCAUCCAUGCCCCUCUUAUGCCCCUGGGCUACAACACGUGCUACCAAUGGG